Molecule: unclassified non-coding RNA, 245 nt
Filed under: plant metagenome
Description: partial contains small subunit ribosomal RNA, internal transcribed spacer 1, and 5.8S ribosomal RNA
Rfam family: 5.8S ribosomal RNA (bases 197-245)
Source: RNAcentral
UCUCCGUUGGUGAACCAGCGGAGGGAUCAUUACAGGACUCGCAAGACUCCUACAACCCUGUGAACUUAACUAUAAGCACGUUGCUUCGGCGGGUGUCUCGGAGAGGGUUCUCCCUCCCCGGGGCGCUAAGCCCGCCGGCAGCCUACUAUACUCUGUCUCUUUGCGUUGGCAUCUCGAGUACAAACAAACAAGUUAAAACUUUCAACAACGGAUCUCUUGGUUCUGGCAUUGAUGAAGAACGCAGC